AAGGUACUAGUAAAAGGAUAUUACACUGCAUUGUCAAGGCAGAGAUGUGGGUUACACCCCCACGUACCUUA
This 71-nucleotide transfer RNA is filed under the name Melanotaenia trifasciata (banded rainbowfish). Its description in RNAcentral is "tRNA-Asp". It matches the Rfam family "tRNA". From Rfam's summary of the family: Transfer RNA (tRNA) molecules are approximately 80 nucleotides in length. Their secondary structure includes four short double-helical elements and three loops (D, anti-codon, and T loops). Lineage: Eukaryota; Metazoa; Chordata; Actinopteri; Atheriniformes; Melanotaeniidae. The record is from RNAcentral. RNAcentral also lists the same sequence under 2 other names.